This 322-nucleotide ribosomal RNA is filed under the name uncultured bacterium. RNAcentral's name for it is "bacterial SSU rRNA". It matches the Rfam family "Bacterial small subunit ribosomal RNA", at positions 29 to 375 of the family's 1533-position model. The record is from RNAcentral.
AACGAACGCUGGCGGCAUGCCUAACACAUGCAAGUCGAACGAGACCUUCGGGUCUAGUGGCGCACGGGUGCGUAACGCGUGGGAAUCUGCCCUUAGGUUCCGGAAUAACUUCGGGAAACUGAAGCUAAUACCGGAUGAUGACGUAAGUCCAAAGAUUUAUCGCCUAAGGAUGAGCCCGCGUUGGAUUAGCCUAGUUGGUGAGGUAAAAGGCUCACCAAGGCGACGAUCCAUAGCUGGUCUGAGAGGAUGAUCAGCCACACUGGGACUGAGACACGGCCCAGACUCCUACGGGAGGCAGCAGUGGGGAAUAUUGGACAAUGGG